Long non-coding RNA from Oenanthe melanoleuca, 2156 nucleotides. RefSeq lists it as uncharacterized. NCBI's taxonomy places the organism in Eukaryota, Metazoa, Chordata, Aves, Passeriformes, Muscicapidae. The transcript has 3 exons. The record is from RefSeq and is a predicted model, not a curated record.
GAUGGCGGGGAAGAGCAGCGGCGGCUCCCGGUGGCUCCCAGUGUCUCCCAGCUCCACGGGCGGCUGGAGCGGCCGCCGGUCCCUCCCCUUCCUGCCGGGGCCUGGACGGGGGAGCCGGGGCGGGGUGCCGCGGGGCCGGGAUGAGGUAGCCGGGAGGCUGUGGUAGGACGGUGCUCAGCUGGAGCGAGAGAGGGAUUUUUAAAACAGUGUUUUUUGGGGAGGGUAGGGGGAAGAGCGCGCAGACGUUUUUCUCGUCACGAAAGGUCAUUCCCCUUGGAAAAGCAUUUGAUGUCGACAGCCGACCCUAGGCGGCUCCAGGCUCCAUGGCAGCCGCCAGCGAGGAUUUUUCCCUUCUCCCGGGAUGGAGCCGGGCGGAGGGUGCUUGGGACCGCUCCAAACACCCUUCUCUUCCACAGCCUCUCCCCGGCUCCUGUGCCAGCUUCCUUCCAAACUGGGCACCCUGUUCGUAUGACAGCCUCCUUCCCCAGCCUUUGCAUCCCUGCCUGUGGCUCCUAUGCCAGCUCCCCUAGAGCUGUGCCAUCCCAGCUGGCUCCAGCCUUGGCCGUCACCUUGGAGAGAACUCGUUCCCACCACACAAACAUGGGCAGCCUUUGGAUUGAUGUGGUGGUAACCCUCACAUCCAGGGGGUUUGUUGCUGGUCAGGUUCUAAAAUGGAAAACACAAGUGUUGUGCGCAGGAAUGGGCACCGUUUGACGGGUUUGUCUUGCCAGGUUGUGUGCAGUUAAAAAAGUUCGUGUUUGGGGUGUUCUGUGCCAGGGAGCCCCAGGCUUGGGCUGGAUGGAUGGAACAGCUGUUGGAUGAGUUGCACUGCUCUGAAGGGAUAACAGCAGCAGCUCCUCAAAGCUUUCAUGUGUCAGGAGACUAUCAGCAAGAGGAAGGAGAUGUGUCCCAGUCUUUAGGGAGUGCUCAUCAUCUACUUCCUUAGCGAAGAGGCAGUAGGACUAAUUCGCAUGCUAGGAAGCCUGCAAACCCAAUUAGUACCCAUGCCCUUGGCUACCAGACCAGAGACUAGUGGGUGAGGCCUCCCCUGAGCUCUUGCCAAAUGACUUUGUUCUGUGGAGAGAGAGGGAAUGUUCAAAUGGAUCUGCCUAAAGCUGUCCCUGCUUUUCCUUUCUGAUUAGUUCCAUGCAGAUUUGUGGCUGACUCUGAAGUGUUUCAGCAUGUGGCACCUAGGCAAGGUGCUCCAGAGGAGGUGGAGGCAAGGGCCAUGUUUAAAAUCCACAUGGGGCAGAUGUGUGUGGGUGUAGCUGGGGUCACUCUGACAGAUCUAUCAGAUUGUGCUGCAUUCCUUCAGGCAGCCCUAGGGAGCCCUCAGGAGCCGUCACCCAUCUUCUUGCGAUGUGCCUGAUGACCAUCAGCCAAAGCUGGCAGGAAUUGGAGUGGUGGAGCUGCACAGGAACGGAGCAGUAACACCUGAAACCCUCGGUGAUGUCAGCCUGCAUCAUGCUAGACAUGCAGAGUUCUGCUGACCCAGAAGCACAUCACCCAAUCCAGCUCUGCUGUUUACAGAGAGUUUUUCCUGCUGGACGCCAUCCCAUUCCUGAGUGGAGAUUUUCUUCCCCUCAGACAGAAGACACCAACGAAGAGAAAAUUAGUCUUCCUUGAGGGUUUGAAAAUUCUUCCCUGAUCCUAUGUUUUUUGGAGAGUGAUGCUGCAAAGGGAAGGGUGGAGUCACCAUCCCUGGAGGGAUUUAAAAGACAUGUAAAUGUGGCACUUGGGGACAAGGUUUAGUGUUGGUCUUGGCAGUGCUGGGUUAAGAGUUGAUUUCGAGGAUCUCAAGGGUCUUUUACAACUUCAAUUAUUUUGUGAUGCUGUGAUUCUUCUUGUAUUCUUUCAGCAGCUGCCUGUGAAACAAAAUGUCAGUAAUUACAAGAGUACUUCCAUAGUAUUUCUUUCUGCACUUGUGACAGUGUGGAAAAAAACCCUCUGGCAAAUAAGAAAUUCCUGUUGAGAGACAGGGAAAUUACAAUUCAUAGCUCUGUCUGCUCAAUAAUUGCAGAUUGGCUGGAUGGGGGCUGGUGGAUGUGGAGCUUUUAUCAGCCUUGUUAGCAUCUGGUUCAUCCUGUGUUUAACUUGGUUAACUGGUGCCUCUUCUGAAAGUGACAUCAAUAAAAGCUGCAUUAAUAUUAACAACC